Molecule: long non-coding RNA, 707 nt
Filed under: Mytilus galloprovincialis (Mediterranean mussel)
Lineage: Eukaryota; Metazoa; Mollusca; Bivalvia; Mytilida; Mytilidae
Source: RNAcentral
UGGUCUAUGUGAAUAUUAAACAAAGGAAGAAGAUGGAUUCAUGACAAAAUUGUGUUUUGGUGAUGAUAAUGUGUUUGUACAUCUUACUUUACUGAACAUUCUUGCUGCUUACAAUUAUCUCUAUCUAUAAUGAACUUGGCCCAGUAGUUUCAGUAAAAAAUGUUUGUAAAAAUUUACAAAUUUUAUGAAAAUUGUUAAAAAUUGACUAUAAAGGACAAUAACUCCUGGGGGUCAAUUGACCAUUCAGUCAUUUUGACUUAUUUGUCAUCUUACUUGCUGUACAUUAUUGCUGUUUAAAGUUUAUCUCUAUCUAUAAUAAUAUUCAGAUAAUAACAAAACAUAAAAUUUCCUUAAAAUUACCAAUUUAGGGCAGCAACCCAACAACGGGUUGUCGAUUCAUCGAAAAUUUCAGGGCCUGAUAACAAUUUACCCAAGAGAUUUGCUCUAAAUGCUUUGUUUUGAGUUAAAGCCAAAACUGCAUUUACCCAUGUUUAUUUUUAGCGUGGCGCCAUCUUGGUUAAAUGGCCGGUCACCGGACACAUUUUUUAAACUAGAUACCCAAAGAUGAUUGUGGCCAAGUUUGGAUUAAUUUGGCCAGUAGUUUCAGAGAGAAGAUUUUUUGUAAAAGAUUACUAAGAUUUACGAAAAAUGGUUAAAAAUUGACUAUAAAGGGCAAUAACUCUAAAGGGGUCAACUGACCAUUUCGG